This 250-nucleotide ribosomal RNA is filed under the name uncultured bacterium. RNAcentral's name for it is "partial 16S ribosomal RNA". It matches the Rfam family "Bacterial small subunit ribosomal RNA", at positions 527 to 776 of the family's 1533-position model. The record is from RNAcentral.
GUAGGGUGCGAGCGUUGUCCGGAAUUAUUGGGCGUACAGAGCUUGUAGGCGGUUUGUCGCGUCUGCUGUGAAAUUUCGGGGCUCAACCCCGAACUUGCAGUGGGUACGGGCAGACUAGAGUGUGGUAGGGGAGACUGGAAUUCCUGGUGUAGCGGUGAAAUGCGCAGAUAUCAGGAGGAACACCGAUGGCGAAGGCAGGUCUCUGGGCCACUACUGACGCUGAGAAGCGAAAGCAUGGGGAGCGAACAGG